UAGGGAAUCUUCGGCAAUGGGGGGAACCCUGACCGAGCAACGCCGCGUGAGUGAAGAAGGUUUUCGGAUCGUAAAGCUCUGUUGUUAAGGAAGAACGAGUGUGAGAAUGGAAAGUUCAUGCUGUGACGGUACUUAACCAGAAAGGGACGGCUAACUACGUGCCAGCAGCCGCGGUAAUACGUAGGUCCCGAGCGUUGUCCGGAUUUAUUGGGCGUAAAGCGAGCGCAGGCGGUUAGAAAAGUCUGAAGUGAAAGGCAGUGGCUCAACCAUUGUAGUCUUUGGAAACUGUUUAACUUGAGUGCAGAAGGGGAGAGUGGAAUUCCAUGUGUAGCGGUGAAAUGCGUAGAUAUAUGGAGGCACACCGGUGGCGAAAGCGGCUCUCUGGUCUGUAACUGACGCUGAGGCUCGAAAGCGUGGGGAGCGAACAGG
This 429-nucleotide ribosomal RNA is filed under the name Verrucomicrobiota bacterium. Its description in RNAcentral is "Verrucomicrobia bacterium partial 16S ribosomal RNA". It matches the Rfam family "Bacterial small subunit ribosomal RNA", at positions 355 to 776 of the family's 1533-position model. Lineage: Bacteria; Pseudomonadati; Verrucomicrobiota. The record is from RNAcentral.